Haliotis rubra (blacklip abalone) is the source of this 136-nucleotide long non-coding RNA. RefSeq lists it as uncharacterized. The transcript is spliced from 3 exons. NCBI's taxonomy places the organism in Eukaryota, Metazoa, Mollusca, Gastropoda, Lepetellida, Haliotidae. The record is from RefSeq and is a predicted model, not a curated record.
AAGAUGUCAAAAUUUCAUAUGAAGUUUGUAAAUAAGUCUACGAAUGGUAUUUUGGACCUGUGAAGUACAGACAGGGCCACUAAUUAUUGUCCCCUCACUGGUCCUGUGGUCUAGUGGGACAUUUUGAAAGGUAUAU